RNAcentral lists this ribosomal RNA (253 nucleotides) under uncultured bacterium. RNAcentral's name for it is "partial 16S ribosomal RNA". It matches the Rfam family "Bacterial small subunit ribosomal RNA", at positions 524 to 776 of the family's 1533-position model. The record is from RNAcentral.
UACGGGGGGGGCAAGCGUUGUUCGGAAUUACUGGGCGUAAAGAGCACGUAGGUGGUUGCAUAAGUCUGUUAUAAAAUCCCCGGGCUCAACCUGGGAACUGUAAUAGAAACUAUGCGGCUAGAGUAUGGGAGAGGAGAGUAGAAUUCCUGGUGUAGCGGUGAAAUGCGUAGAUAUCGGGAGGAACACCGGUGGCGAAGGCGGUUCUCUGGGCCUUACCUGACGCUGAGGAGCGAAAGCGUGGGGAGCGAACAGG